UCUGGCUCAGGGUCGGUUGACAUCCAUCGGACGAGGAGUGUAAGCCUCUGGACCGCAUCGGGCCGUCGUCUCCGCCCUACGGCGGACGUGCGGCCUCAGAGUUCACCGUGCGGAGUUUGCGACGACUCAACUCUUGGACCUUAACAGUCUGGGUUGGCCUGUCAGCUGGCCGUACGCGUCGGGCGCCGGCAAUUUCUGCCUACCCGCCCGCCAAACCUUAACACUU
RNAcentral lists this unclassified non-coding RNA (226 nucleotides) under Euchaeta rimana. RNAcentral's name for it is "partial ITS2". Lineage: Eukaryota; Metazoa; Arthropoda; Copepoda; Calanoida; Euchaetidae. The record is from RNAcentral.